This 405-nucleotide ribosomal RNA is filed under the name uncultured bacterium. RNAcentral describes it as "partial 16S ribosomal RNA". It matches the Rfam family "Bacterial small subunit ribosomal RNA", at positions 28 to 526 of the family's 1533-position model. The record is from RNAcentral.
GACGAACGCUGGCGGCGUGCCUAAUACAUGCAAGUCGAGCGAAGUGGGGACGGGUGAGUAACACGUGGGUAACCUCCUCUAAGACUGGGAUAACUUUUGGAAACGGGGGCUAAACCGGAUACGUAUGGUUGGCACCGCGCUGCAUUUGUUAGUUGGUUAGGUAACGGCGUACCAGGGCAACGAUGCAUAGCCUACCUGGGCGGGUGAUCGGCCACACUGGACAGAGUACACGGUCCAGACUCCUCCGGGACGCAGCAGAAGGGGAUUUUCCGCAAUGGGCGAAAGCCUGGAGGAGCGAAGCCGCGUGAGUGAUGAGGGUCUUGGGAUCGUAAGCCUCGUUUAUUAGGGAAGCGGUACCUAAUCAGAAAGCGACGGCUAACUACGUGCCAGCAGCCGCGGUAAUUC